Molecule: long non-coding RNA, 7410 nt
Filed under: Triticum aestivum (bread wheat)
Lineage: Eukaryota; Viridiplantae; Streptophyta; Magnoliopsida; Poales; Poaceae
Description: long non-coding RNA (TAES_LNC001016)
Source: RNAcentral
CCCAUUGUGUGAAAGAAACAAUUAUAACAUUGUACUCUAACAAAUCACACAUAUAGAGAAAUGUUAUUUUCGAGUCUCCUUAACCUACUGAUCUUUUUUUAGAUAUAUGAAACUUGCAUUUGUUUUCUUAAUUCUUCUGCAAUGCAGGUGAUAUUCCUAAUGGUUGCUGCUGACGCUUAAAAAAUUACUCCUGAAGCACUAGAAGUGCCCUCUCUAUGGCGCAUCACUCACUGGAUCCAGAUGGGCAACAUUCCGCUUCAAGAUUAAAGAGUACAGUUUUUGCAUGCUAUCAUUGCUUAUCCAAGAGUAAUCUACCAUGUGCCUAAUAUAUAUACAUGAUUGUUGCACCAUCACAAGAUUUCCAUUAUAUACAUGGGCAUAACUUUCUUUACUGUGAAUUAAUCGACACGAUGCUUCUGUUUUAAGGAAUGGCAAUGCUAAAUUCUACAGUGGUACUCUCUACUCUGUCGAAUGUUUACAAACACCACAAAGCUAGAGAUCUAUUGUGGAAACCUUUCUUUCUUUUGUUUGUUAUAACUUCUUAGUGUAAAAAUAAAUAUGGCUUGUCCAUUAGGAAACAAAUAUGUAAGAUUUAUUACUUUUCAAAGUUGAAUUGUUCCUGACAAUUACACAUGAGAGUGCAUAUAAUUCAGUUGUGCUGACUUGCUGUUUCUAAAAUGAUAAGCUGGAGUUGGAGUUACAUAUGAGAGUAGAGAUAAUUUAGUUGUGCUCCUGACUUGAUUAACAAAAGCUGCAGAAGAAAGGGACAAAAUACCAAAAAGCUGAAAAUUUGAAGAAAGGUGGAAGUAGGGAACUACACAACUUGAUUCAAGGUUACGAAGGGACAAAGGGCAUUGAUUGAGCAGGAGAAAACAAUAAUGGGCCGAGGCAAGGAUAUAGUGCUCAGUUAGUAAAGAGAUAUGUGGGAAGUGGAGCAGCGGGAUGCAAAUGGAAUUUUUGUGACUCACUGAAGGUGAGCAAAACUUUAGAAAAGAAAUUGCAACAGAAGUAGAGCCUCAUCACCAAGAGAGCAUAGGGAUUUUAAGUUUUUUGUAGCCUGCACCGGAGACUGUAGAGUUAAGUUUCUACAUCUCAGUGUACAGUUUAACUAUAUCAGGUUAUUUACUAUGAAGUAAAUAUUUGCUUUUGCCAUUGUUGAUCAUGUCCUUCUCUCUGUGCUUGGAAGCAUAAACUUACUUAGCGAUCCUUUUCUGUUAGGCUAAACUUACAUCCUUCUGCUAAUAGUUUAGUGAUAUAAUGAUUAUAAUGAUUAUUCAAAAGGGACGUUGCAUGUUCCUAGAUGCAUAGCCUUUCUUAUAUAUGUUUUCAUAACACUGGAUUUUUUUAGGGAUAACGCUGGGAUUUUAGUCUUUUUGUUGAAUUCCGAAACUGAAAUCCGAAUAAACCAUAUCUUGAAAGGCCGGCAUAAUGGCACUUCAAAUAAAUGCUAAUCUACACUCACACUGCAGGAUGGUGCCCGUUCUUCUGGUGAUUUGGUCAAAGCUACUACUAAGCAAAGAUAUUUUGCAUGCUAUAAGAACAUGUAGGUUCAUAUCGGGCACCCAUACGAUCCUGCAAAGAAUUUUGACUCACUUUGAUAUAUUAGCAACAACAUCGUUUAAAAUCCAAACGAAUGGCAUACUCCCUGUUAAUUCAAAUGCAGAUACAAACUUUAAGAUUUUCUAAAUAAGAAAAUAUAUUUACAGUCCAAGUGUAGUAAUCUGGGAGUUUGAAAUCAUUUCCCCUUUUUAAAAAGCCAGGGACAUGGAAGUUAAUAUUCACAUACAUGGCAGGGAAGGAUUGAUCUCUCUGCUUAGCAAUGAAUUUGUAGCACCCGAUGAAAACAAAUAUUGUGCAGACCCUAUGGCGUCACUGUGUUAGUAGGCCGUAUUGGCGUUGCAAUCUCUUCUUGGACUAACUAAUGCAUAGGUUAUAAAGCACAUCAAACCUUUUGUAGACCAACAAAUCCAACAUGCUAUGUAGAUCUUGUGUGUACGGAUUAAUCUGAUUGAUGACUGAUGGAAAGCUUCAGGACUUGUAUUCCCCCCUCACCCCAUAUCUGUAGUUUCCUAUGAUUCACUUUCAAAUCUGGAUAUUCUCCUAUAUAUUAACUACUGCAUUGGAGGAAAUUAAAUCACUUGCAAUCUACAAUUAAAGAAUAAUUAAGUGGGACCUUGAGAAACAAUAGUUUGCCAUGGUCUGCAAUGGGGCAGAGCCAAAGAGUUUGACCAGAAUAAAAGUCUGGACAACAAAAUUCAAUGGAGAGAGAUAUCCAUUUGUUACCCACAAAUGAUUAUUUUUUUGUUAGUGCCUCUUCUUCUUUCUUGCCCAUUAUUUAGUUAUAACGUGACAAAAUAAACAUGUUGAUUAUACCCGACUUGCACUGAACAUGAAAUUUUUGUUUAUGCACAAACAUGCGAGUUGUGUAGUACUGUAAGUUGACACUGCAUCGAAACAUAACACACAAUUACAUGUGCGUGUAUAAGGAGAAACUAUACCUGCAGCACACAUCCAUCUAUCUCGGUUUAUGGGAGAACUGGCAAAUUUAUGGUAAUGAAGCAUGUAGCUGAGGUGUGAGACAAAUCUUCCGUAGAGUGUUAAUGUUGUUAGUAGUAAUUAACUUGUCUCCUAGGAGCUAACUGCAGCAACUUACCUUGACUGUUAGAUACAGUAUAGCAUUAUUCAUCUUCAUCCAUGAUUGAUUCUUCUGUUUACUGCAAUUCUUUGACAAUUCUUAGCAUCACACAACCAAAGGUGAGAAGCAAAAAUUUGAAGCACGGAACAAAAAAUUCACAAACCAAUGCAUUUAGUAACCAUCGUGGUUCUUACAGGUCCUUUGCAAUCCAAAUUCCAGUUCUAUGACUUGCAAGGAAGGAUGAAGUCCAUGUCAUGAAAAUUUUAAUAUGUGGUCGCUGCCUCCUCCAGCCAUGGAUUUCAAAGGUACGCAGAUUCACCUACAACAUGCAUAUGGGAGAACUUGCAGAUCUGAAGGAAUCAAGCAUCUAGCUAAGGUGCUUGUAGCCACGAUCAGUGCUCCAUCGAGCAAUUUCUUAGGGCUGCACAGAUGCAACAACCUGGUAGAUAGGAUCAUCCUCUAUCAAAAAUAGCCAAAGGAAAAUGUCAGCAUCAGAGAUCCCAUAUAGGCCAGGAUAAUGUCAAAAUAUCUUGGCAUGGGCACGUGGCUCAUAGCCUCAACUUGAGACCGUUUACUCCAUGCUCGUGGUGGAGGCCUAGUCUCGACGGGGGCAUGGCAGUGGCGUGCGUUAGGAUUGGAUUCCGUCGAAGACCUGGGAUUGAUUUUCUAGCUGAGGCUGCGUGCGUGAGGGCUUGAGAGUCGGUUGUAGCCAUGGGAUUCUGGCGGCGGCAGCGUGCGUGAGGGCAGGGGAGUCUGUAGCCCUAUUAUGUUUUUCUUCUUUCAACAAUGGACUCAGGUAAUGGGAAAACUAAUCUAUGGCAUGGCCCUGUAUAUUUUGUCUUCUUUUCACGAUGGAGUCAAGGUUUCUAAAAAAAUUAUGGCAUUGCUGAAUCGUAGAGGCAGGUGAAAGCUAUUUUGAUGCAGCAUAUGCUUUAGUAGGAGUUAUCUCUACCUCUCUAUCUCUACCUAAUCUCUACCUAAUAAUAAAGCAAAUUGGGUUUCUGCUUGUCCGUCAUUAGCAUUUUUGCUAAAAAGCCCCUCCUUUUUUAGUAUUUAACUCGCAGUACAAUUUAAAGUAUGUUUCUUCCUGAGAUAAUGAUUCAUUUUUUGCAAAAAGGACCCUGGCACCACCACCACAGCCCCGCCUUAUCCACUGCCGGCCUUCACAAACGGGCAGCGGCGCGCUUGCCGCGGUGUCCGCUCCGCCCGAGCCCAGUAAUGGGGCAAGGCGUCGCGGCGGCGUUCCUGCACGCCUUGUCGGCCUUGGAGCUAGCCUUGGCGGGGGCGGGCCGAGGCGUCGCGGCGGAGGACGAUAAGCAGACGGGCAAGCGCCGCCGGCGCGCUUGCCGUGGGCGUCCACUUCGCCCGAGCCCAGGAGUGGGGCGAGGGGUCGCGCCGGCGUUCCUACGCGCCUUGUCGCCCUUGAAGCUGGCCUUGGCGGGCCGAGGCAUCGCGGCGGAGGACGACAAGGCGGCCGGCGUGCUCUGUUGGGGCGACGCGUCGCGGCGCUCCGGCUCCAGCAGAUGACGGCAGAGAGCCAGGUGUGGCUUUGUGUCGCCAACAGCCACGAGGUCAUCGGCGCCGGCCACCGUGCCAGGCUGGACCAGCUGCUGCAGCCCCCCUGCGCCGUCGCCGUCGCCGUCGCCGUGGCACAAGAAGCGCGAGUUCCCCCCGCUGUCGGAGGCUGGGUGUCGUUCUCUAGUGCAGAUUGUCUAAUUGAGUUUCUGAAAGCGUCGUCCACGUCUGCACUUCAUGGGUCCGUACACUGGGAACUCACGCCUGAGAACUUCCUGCUCACCAGAUUGGUUUCAGUUUCUCUGUCUGCAUCGAAGAAGGUCAGCACUUUGCCUCGAACAGUUUCAUGAUUACACUCAUGACAUGAUUUACAGUACAGUAGUCUCAUGCGUUGAGCACUUGAGCUCAUAAUACUGCAAUACGGACAUACAUUUUCCAAGCAUAAAUUAAUGAAGAAGUUAUUGCAACAGGAGGGCCUCUAAUUGUAAUUCAUAUACACAUUUCAGCUCAAUAACCAUAUAACGCAUCUUGCCCGAGCUUGAUACUUCCGACUAUCUCCAUGUCUUUCGGGUCAAAGUUAAGUUAGCUCUAUAUACGAGCAGGCAUUUUAUUCUUUGGGAGCAAGCAAGAAUCAACAUAUUCUCUCGCAAUAUUAUCUCCUCCUUCCCCUUGUCAUCCUAAUCCCCUGCAGAUGGCAUGACUAGCUAGGUUCAUAACAGUUGUUGUAACUAUCCGUCCGGUCAUGAAUCAACAAUUACAAUUGUUUUGACUUCUACAAUCAGUUCAGCCGCCUAUGUUGUACUGCCGCUGCCAUUUAAAGAUUUAAGUUGUCAGGUGGAUAUAGGUUCCAUUAGAUUGAAAGUAAUGAAAUUUUAUUUGCCAACCUGGCUGCACUUUGUGAUGCUUUAUUUAUGUAUAUACUUAAAGUUCAAAUGUGAUGUAUGCAUUACUCCUUAUUUGAUACUAGCAUUUGUCGCAAGCACCUUGCUAUUCUGAGUAAUGGUUGAUAUCUUACAUUUAGCCGAGAAGCUGAAAACUUACGAGUUGGAAAACCUUCUAGAUAUACCUAAAAAGACCUUGAAGAUAUCUUCUACUAGACUGGACGAGCUGAUUGACUGGCGAUGGAGAUGCAGCAGUGACCUGCAAUUCUUUCUGCUGUGGAUGGUUCAUUUUGAAAUCUUUUUUAUAUCUGACAAGACACAAGAAAACAACAUAUCUAUCCUGUUAUAUUUACCACUAUCAUCUACAGUGAGUGCUAAGUUGCCCAUAAAUUUUAGUUGAUUUCUGUUCAGAGUGAUCUGAAAAAUAGAUAGCAUAAAAGAUUAGUGGGUAUUACAUUUAGAUUAGUUACAUUUGGGCAAAUAAAUGAGUAGAAGUCAAUUUUGUUUGCUUGAUGUUUCACUUCUUUGAUCUCUUCAUCAUUCUCAUUUUGUUUCAUUGCUUACCAUUUGUUCGAAAAAAUUUCUAGCAGUGGCAAGCAUGGUUAGGGCGAGCAACAAGGGUUCCUGUAGUGCAUAACCAUUUCAAGUCGCCCAAGUUCUAAAGAGAGAUCAGAAGUGCCAGCUACUGAAGCAAAAAAAAGGACCUGAUACACAUUGUAAUCAUGGACUGCUGAUAUACCUGAUGCAUUUCUUCAUGAUGGUCGAUUUCCUUUCACCGGAUCUUACAUGUUUAAUUAUGUGUGCUCGGAACCAAAAACUGAUUGAGAUCUUCAGUUCUUACUUGCAGAUGUUCUGUUAUUCAGAGUAAUUCAGUUUCCAGUCUCUGUUUAUUAAUCAAAUUAUGGGUUAUUUUCAACCAUAUAGGCUUUUAUUAUAUGUUCAGUUAUGCUUCCAUGGGUUUUGCAUAUGUAUUAACAAAACAACCAGACUGCUAUUCUGUAUAUACUUGGAUCAAAGGGUGUACAAUUAAUUUGCUCUUACGAAAGGAAUGAGUAGGCAGCUAGCAGAAUGGGAGGACAAUCAUGACAAGCGAAGGAACAAAUAAAUAGUAAUCCCACAAUUUUUACAACUGCAUUCCACUUUAAUUUGGUAUGGACAUGCAUUUUUAUCCUUGGAGUACUUUGGAUUUUAAGUGGGAAUCAUUGGUUCUUUUCUUCUUAAUAUUUUACUUCUUAUAAUUACAAAUACCAAUUUUAGAGAAUUGAGCUCGUACUUAAAAUUCAAUUGAGUAUGAAGCCACUGCCCAUUGUGUGAAAGAAACAAUUAUAACAUUGUACUCUAACAAAUCACACAUAUAGAGAAAUGUUAUUUUCGAGUCUCCUUAACCUACUGAUCUUUUUUUAGAUAUAUGAAACUUGCAUUUGUUUUCUUAAUUCUUCUGCAAUGCAGGUGAUAUUCCUAAUGGUUGCUGCUGACGCUAAAAAAAUUACUCCUGAAGCACUAGAAGUGCCCUCUCUAUGACGCAUCACUCACUGGAUCCAGAUGGGCAACAUUCCGCUUCAAGAUUAAAGAGUACCGUUUUUGCAUGCUAUCAUUGCUUAUCCAAGAGUAAUCUAGCAUGUGCCUAAUAUAUAUACAUGAUUGUUGCACCAUCACAAGAUUUCCAUUAUAUACAUGGGCAUAACUUUCUUUACUGUGAAUUAAUCGACACGAUGCUUCUGUUUUAAGGAAUGGCAAUGCUAAAUUCUACAGUGGUACUCUCUACUCUGUCGAAUGUUUACAAACACCAUAAAGCUAGAGAUCUAUUGUGGAAACUUUUCUUUCUUUUGUUUGUUAUAACUUCUUAGUGUAAAAAUAAAUAUGGCUUGUCCAUUACGAAACAAAUAUGUAAGAUUUAUUACUUUUCAAAGUUGAAUUGUUCCUGGCAAAUUACACAUGAGAGUGCAUACAAUUGAGUUGUGCUGACUUGCUGUUUCUAAAAUGAUAAGCUGGAGCUGGAGUUACAUAUGAGAGUAGAGAUAAUUAAGUUGUGCUCCUGACUUGAUUAACAAAAGCUGCAGAAGAAAGGGACAAAAUACCAAAGAGCUGAAAUUUUGAAGAAAGGUGGAAGUAGGGAACUACACAACUUGAUUCAAGGUUACGAAGGGAAAAAGGGCAUUGAUUGAGCAGGAGAAAACAAUAAUGGGCCGAGGCAAAGAUAUAGUGCUCAGUUAGUAAAGAGAUAUGUGGGAAGUUGAGCAGCGGGAUGCAAAUGGAAUUUUUGUGACUCACUGAAGGUGAGCAAAACUUCAGAAAAGAAAUUGCAACAGAAGUAGAGCCUCAUCACCAAGAGAACAUAGGGAUUUUAAGUUUUUUGUAGCCUGCACCGGAGACUGUAGA